RNAcentral lists this transfer RNA (71 nucleotides) under Dipodomys ordii (Ord's kangaroo rat). It matches the Rfam family "tRNA". From Rfam's summary of the family: Transfer RNA (tRNA) molecules are approximately 80 nucleotides in length. The record is from Rfam by way of RNAcentral. Lineage: Eukaryota; Metazoa; Chordata; Mammalia; Rodentia; Heteromyidae.
GGAAUGUGGCUCAGUGGUAGAGUGUUUGCCUGGCAAGCAUGAAGCUCCGGGGGUUCCAUUCCCCAUUACCA